GCUGGGCGUGGUGGUGCAUGCCUGUAACCCCAGCAACUCAGGAGGCUGAGGCAGGAGGAUCAUGAGUUCAAAGCCAGCCUUAGGAAUUUAGUGAGAUCCUGUCUCUA
RNAcentral lists this small RNA (107 nucleotides) under Marmota monax (woodchuck). The record is from RNAcentral. Lineage: Eukaryota; Metazoa; Chordata; Mammalia; Rodentia; Sciuridae.